This 235-nucleotide unclassified non-coding RNA is filed under the name uncultured Myxotrichaceae. Its description in RNAcentral is "sequence contains ITS2". The stretch from base 1 to 52 matches the Rfam family "5.8S ribosomal RNA", at positions 103 to 154 of the family's 154-position model. Lineage: Eukaryota; Fungi; Ascomycota; Leotiomycetes; Myxotrichaceae. The record is from RNAcentral.
AACGCACAUUGCGCCCUGUGGUAUUCCGCAGGGCAUGCCUGUUCGAGCGUCAUUUCAACCCUCAAGCCUCGCUUGGUGUUGGGCCCCGCCCGCUGCGGCCGGCCCCAAAGUCAGUGGCGGCACCGUACGGUCCUAAGCGUAGUAACACCCUCGCUCUAGGGCCCUGCGGCCGCGCGCCAGAACCCCAACUCCUAUGGUUGACCUCGGAUCAGGUAGGGAUACCCGCUGAACUUAA